This 496-nucleotide ribosomal RNA is filed under the name uncultured bacterium. Its description in RNAcentral is "partial 16S ribosomal RNA". It matches the Rfam family "Bacterial small subunit ribosomal RNA", at positions 28 to 506 of the family's 1533-position model. The record is from RNAcentral.
GAUGAACGCUGGCGGCGUGCCUAAUACAUGCAAGUCGAGCGAACAGACGAGGAGCUUGCUCCUUCGACGUUAGCGGCGGACGGGUGAGUAACACGUAGGUAACCUACCUAUAAGACUGGGAUAACUUCGGGAAACCGGAGCUAAUACCGGAUAAUAUUUCGAACCGCAUGGUUCGAUAGUGAAAGAUGGCUUUGCUAUCACUUAUAGAUGGACCUGCGCCGUAUUAGCUAGUUGGUAAGGUAACGGCUUACCAAGGCAACGAUACGUAGCCGACCUGAGAGGGUGAUCGGCCACACUGGAACUGAGACACGGUCCAGACUCCUACGGGAGGCAGCAGGAGGGAAUCUUCCGCAAUGGGCGAAAGCCUGACGGAGCAACGCCGCGUGAGUGAUGAAGGUCUUCGGAUCGUAAAACUCUGUUAUUAGGGAAGAACAAACGUGUAAGUAACUGUGCACGUCUUGACGGUACCUAAUCAGAAAGCCACGGCUAACUACGU